CUCUUGCAUUCUCCUUUACCACUCGUGGCACCUGAUAAACAUAACUAGGAACGUGAGUUAUUUGGGGAUCUCCUUAGGAAUGGUUCAAGUACGAGGCACCAUUGCUGCCUGUUGCUGCUUGUAUGCGAAUAAAACAGCAGUUCAGAACUAGUGCUAAUACCAGAUGAAUCCUGAGCUUUAGCAACCCAGAAUUCUGGCACAACAAUUGGACAAGAAACGUCACUACAGGAAAAGACCCUUCCCAAGGAAGUUCUGGUGAAGGCAGUGAGUCUGAAGGUUUCUGGGUUCUGUGGAAGAGGGAAAACAUAGAUCUUGCAUCUCUGCAGAAUAUCAUCAAUUUAAAAGAUGCAAAUUAAGGGAGGAGAAAACAGCAGAAUGGAC
Molecule: long non-coding RNA, 381 nt
Filed under: Apteryx owenii (little spotted kiwi)
Lineage: Eukaryota; Metazoa; Chordata; Aves; Apterygiformes; Apterygidae
Description: lncRNA (ENSAOWG00000012647.1)
Source: RNAcentral